This 484-nucleotide ribosomal RNA is filed under the name Pratylenchus goodeyi. Its description in RNAcentral is "partial large subunit ribosomal RNA". It matches the Rfam family "Eukaryotic large subunit ribosomal RNA", at positions 449 to 810 of the family's 3401-position model. The record is from RNAcentral. Lineage: Eukaryota; Metazoa; Nematoda; Chromadorea; Rhabditida; Pratylenchidae.
AUUGGGACAGUACGUGCAGGGCUUGGCUGACUAUGGGUGGCGCAUUUGCGGGCUGUGUGCGCCGAGACGCUUGGCGCAGCAGCGUGAACCUGGUUUUGAGGCCAGCUUGCUGGUACCCGAACUUGGGGGAACGCUAUUUGCUCUGGGUGUAUCAAAUGAACAUGGCUUACGGGCUAAGUUGGGUGUCAAGCUGUUUGCCGGUGGCGGUCACAUGUGGACACGUGCUGUGUAGGCGGUUUGAUCUCUGACGAGCCAACAUGUUCUUUCUCGGUGUAAGAGCUGGUCAUCUCUCCGACCCGUCUUGAAACACGGACCAAGGAGUUUAUCGUGUGCGCAAGUCAUUGGGCGUUGAAAACCCAAAGGCGCAAUGAAAGUGAAUGUCUCCGCAAGGAGCUGAUGUGCGAUCCUGGUCUCUUCGGAGGCCAAGCGCAGCAUGGCCCCAUCCUGACUGCUUGCAGUGGGGUGGAGGAAGAGCGUACGCGGU